GAUGAACGCUGGCGGCGUGCUUAACACAUGCAAGUCGAACGAAGCAGUUUAUUACGAUCCCUUCGGGGUGACGAUUUACUGACUGAGUGGCGGACGGGUGAGUAACGCGUGGGUAACCUGCCUUGUACAGGGGGACAACAGUUGGAAACGACUGCUAAUWCCGCAUAAGCGCACAGCUUCGCAUGAAGCAGUGUGAAAAGUAUUUUCGGUACAAGAUGGACCCGCGUCUGAUUAGCUAGUUGGUGAGGUAACGGCCCACCAAGGCGACGAUCAGUAGCCGACCUGAGAGGGUGACCGGCCACAUUGGGACUGAGACACGGCCCAAACUCCUACGGGAGGCAGCAGUGGGGAAUAUUGCACAAUGGGCGAAAGCCUGAUGCAGCGACGCCGCGUGAGCGAAGAAGUAUUUCGGUAUGUAAAGCUCUAUCAGCAGGGAAGAUAAU
RNAcentral lists this ribosomal RNA (443 nucleotides) under bacterium DAZ1009. RNAcentral's name for it is "bacterial SSU rRNA". It matches the Rfam family "Bacterial small subunit ribosomal RNA", at positions 28 to 452 of the family's 1533-position model. The record is from RNAcentral.